GACGAACGCUGGCGGCGUGCCUAAUACAUGCAAGUCGAGCGAGUCUGCCUUGAAGAUCGGAGUGCUUGCACUCUGUGAAACAAGAUACAGGCUAGCGGCGGACGGGUGAGUAACACGUGGGUAACCUGCCCAAGAGAUCGGGAUCACACCUGGAAACAGAUGCUCAUACCGGAUAACAACAGAUGAUGCCUACCAACUGUUUAAAAGCUGGUUCUGCUCUCACUCUUGGAUUGACCUGCGGUGCAUUAGCUAGUUGGUAGGGUAACGGCCUACCAAGGCGAUGAUGCAUAGCCGAAGUGAGAGACGGAUCGGCCACAUGGGGACUGAGACACGGCCCAAACUCCUACGGGAGGCAGCAGUAGGGAAUCGUCCACAAUGGACGCAAGUCUGAUGGAGCAACGCCGCGUGAGUGAAGAAGGGUUUCGGCUCGUAAAGCUCUGUUGUUGGUGAAGAAGGACAGGGGUAGGAACUGACCUGUGUUUGACGGUAAUCAAUUAGAAAGUCACGGCUAACUACGUG
This 519-nucleotide ribosomal RNA is filed under the name uncultured bacterium. Its description in RNAcentral is "partial 16S ribosomal RNA". It matches the Rfam family "Bacterial small subunit ribosomal RNA", at positions 28 to 507 of the family's 1533-position model. The record is from RNAcentral.